UAUGGAAUUUUAAAAUCUAAAGUGAUAAACACUAAUGGUUAUGGCCAAUGUCUAAAAUGCCCUUCAUGGUAGACAUGAGAAGUCUAAACUACCCUUGUGCAUUAUUAAAGGAAGAAAUCAAUUAUUGGAGGGGAAAUUACCAUUUUGCCCUUUUGUCCACUUUAGUGCAUUAUUGGUGAAAUAAUUGUGUAUCAUUGCUACUAAUCCACCAAAUCCGGCCAACCACUCUAUUAUUGUCCUUUGAGCUCUAUAAUUACCAGCCAUAUCAGCAUCCAAGGCAAUCUAAGGGUCUAUAUAUAGAGAUUGAAGGAGAAAUAAUGAAAACACACUCUAAUAUUUUCUAAACUCUCUAGCUACACUCUCUCAACCUCUAGCCAACGAAUUUGCCUUGCCCAUAAGCUCAUAAUCAAAGCCUAGCCAUCACAAACAACAAAUCAGAAGCAUCAAAGCCAAAAAAAUCAAAAAUCGAAGCUAGAAAAGGUAUGAAAUUCCCUAAUUUUGAAAUCCUUCGAUUCGAUGUUAAUUGAUGCAAUUGAUUGUUUAA
This 544-nucleotide long non-coding RNA is filed under the name Panax ginseng (ginseng). Its description in RNAcentral is "long non-coding RNA (PGIN_LNC000277)". Lineage: Eukaryota; Viridiplantae; Streptophyta; Magnoliopsida; Apiales; Araliaceae. The record is from RNAcentral.